GUGCUCACUUUGGCAGUACAUAUACUAACAUUGGAAGGAUACAUAGAAGAUUAGCAUAGCCCCUGCACAAGGAUGACACACAAAUUUACAAAGCAUUCUAUAUUUUU
Small nuclear RNA from Gorilla gorilla gorilla (western lowland gorilla), 107 nucleotides. The record is from Ensembl. NCBI's taxonomy places the organism in Eukaryota, Metazoa, Chordata, Mammalia, Primates, Hominidae.